Molecule: unclassified non-coding RNA, 258 nt
Filed under: fungal sp.
Lineage: Eukaryota; Fungi
Description: partial internal transcribed spacer region
Rfam family: Eukaryotic small subunit ribosomal RNA (bases 1-46)
Source: RNAcentral
AAGUCGUAACAAGGUUUCCGUAGGUGAACCUGCGGAAGGAUCAUUAGUAGUGUUUGAGCUUAAAAGUGAAGGCGCAAGCCUGAACUUUUAAGCGAGCGAGGGUGGAGGGUGGAGUGAAGUGGAGGUGUAUCACAUGGUACUACCAGCACCCACUCCCAUCCACACCCAGUCACGGGCGCUCGCAGGAGUGCCUUGUAACAAGUAAUUUACAUCUAAAUCAUACAAGCAAAACUUUUAACAAUGGAUCUCUGGGCUCCU